Molecule: ribosomal RNA, 253 nt
Filed under: uncultured bacterium
Lineage: Bacteria
Description: partial 16S ribosomal RNA
Rfam family: Bacterial small subunit ribosomal RNA
Source: RNAcentral
UACGAAGGGGGCUAGCGUUGUUCGGAAUUACUGGGCGUAAAGCGCGCGAAGGCGGCCUUUCAAGUCAGGGGUGAAAGCCCGGAGCUCAACUCCGGAAUUGCCUUUGAAACUGUCAGGCUCGAGUUCGGAAGAGGCGAGUGGAAUUCCUGGUGUAGCGGUGAAAUGCGCAGAUAUCAGGAGGAACACCGGUGGCGAAGGCGGUUCUCUGGGCAUUACCUGACGCUGAGGAGCGAAAGUGUGGGGAGCGAACAGG